GAAUAUUGGACAAUGGAGGCAACUCUGAUCCAGCCAUGCCGCGUGAAGGAAUAAGGCCCUAUGGGUUGUAAACUUCUUUUAGACGGGACAAAACCCCUUUACGUGUAAAGGGUUGAUGGUACUGUCAGAAUAAGCAUCGGCUAACUUCGUGCCAGCAGCCGCGGUAAUACGAAGGAUGCAAGCGUUAUCCGGAAUUAUUGGGUUUAAAGGGUGCGUAGGCGGACUAAUAAGUCAGUGGUGAAAGCCUGCAGCUUAACUGCAGAAUUGCCAUUGAUACUGUUAGUCUUGAGUACAGUUGAGGUAGGCGGAAUGUGUCAUGUAGCGGUGAAAUGCUUAGAUAUGACACAGAACACCUAUUCCGAAGGCAGCUUGCUAAGCUGUAACUGACGCUGAGGCACGAAAGCGUGGGGAGCAAACA
This 418-nucleotide ribosomal RNA is filed under the name uncultured bacterium. RNAcentral's name for it is "bacterial SSU rRNA". It matches the Rfam family "Bacterial small subunit ribosomal RNA", at positions 359 to 774 of the family's 1533-position model. The record is from RNAcentral.